AGCCCUGUAGUUGAAAUACAAUAAUGAGCUGCAGUCUCACAGGAAGGGGGAAACUCCUCAGGGCUU
Ylistrum balloti is the source of this 66-nucleotide non-coding RNA. NCBI's taxonomy places the organism in Eukaryota, Metazoa, Mollusca, Bivalvia, Pectinida, Pectinidae. The record is from the annotation of a RefSeq genome assembly.